RNAcentral lists this ribosomal RNA (460 nucleotides) under uncultured bacterium. RNAcentral describes it as "partial 16S ribosomal RNA". It matches the Rfam family "Bacterial small subunit ribosomal RNA", at positions 338 to 795 of the family's 1533-position model. The record is from RNAcentral.
CCUACGGGUGGCAGCAGUGAGGAAUAUUGGUCAAUGGCCGGAAGGCUGAACCAGCCAUGCCGCGUGAAGGUCAGUGCCCUAUGGGCGUUAAACUUCUUUUGUGCGGGAGCAAUAAUGGUCACGUGUGGCCAGACGAGAGUACCGUACGAAUAAGCAUCGGCUAACUCCGCGCCAGCAGCCGCGGUAAUACGGGGGAUGCAAGCGUUAUCCGGAUUUAUUGGGUUUAAAGGGUGCGUAGGCUGUGAGGUAAGUCAGCGGUGAAAUGCCCCCGCUCAACGGGGUGAAGUGCCAUUGAUACUGACUGGCUGGAAUGCGGAUGCCGUGGGAGGAAUGUGUGGUGUAGCGGUGAAAUGCAUAGAGAUCACACAGAACACCGAUUGCGAAGGCAUCUCACGAAUCCGCGAUUGACGCUGAUGCACGAAAGCGUGGGUAUCAAACAGGAUUAGAUACCCUUGUAGUC